GUAGGGUGCGAGCGUUGUCCGGAAUUAUUGGGCGUAAAGGGCUCGUAGGCGGUUUGUCGCGUCGGGAGUGAAAACUCAGGGCUUAACCCCGAGCCUGCUUCCGAUACGGGCAGACUAGAGGUAUGCAGGGGAGAACGGAAUUCCUGGUGUAGCGGUGAAAUGCGCAGAUAUCAGGAGGAACACCGGUGGCGAAGGCGGUUCUCUGGGCAUUACCUGACGCUGAGGAGCGAAAGUGUGGGGAGCGAACAGGAUUAGAUACCCUGGUAGUCCACACCGUAAACGUUGGGCGCUAGGUGUGGGACUCAUUCCACGAGUUCCGUGCCGCAGCUAACGCAUUAAGCGCCCCGCCUGGGGAGUACGGCCGCAAGGCUA
This 372-nucleotide ribosomal RNA is filed under the name uncultured bacterium. RNAcentral's name for it is "bacterial SSU rRNA". It matches the Rfam family "Bacterial small subunit ribosomal RNA", at positions 527 to 896 of the family's 1533-position model. The record is from RNAcentral.